RNAcentral lists this transfer RNA (75 nucleotides) under Gemmataceae bacterium. Its description in RNAcentral is "tRNA-Pro". It matches the Rfam family "tRNA". Rfam says of the family: Transfer RNA (tRNA) molecules are approximately 80 nucleotides in length. Their secondary structure includes four short double-helical elements and three loops (D, anti-codon, and T loops). The record is from RNAcentral. Lineage: Bacteria; Pseudomonadati; Planctomycetota; Planctomycetia; Gemmatales; Gemmataceae.
CGGGGCGUAGCUCAGCUUGGCUAGAGCGCAUGGUUCGGGACCAUGAGGUCGCUGGUUCAAGUCCAGUCGCCCCGA